Molecule: transfer RNA, 63 nt
Filed under: Singhiella simplex
Lineage: Eukaryota; Metazoa; Arthropoda; Insecta; Hemiptera; Aleyrodidae
Description: tRNA-His
Source: RNAcentral
AUUUAAAUAGUUUAUAAAAAUAUUAAUCUGUGAAAUUAAAGAUAACCCUAAGGUUUUUAAAUA